GCUGGGCAUGGUGGCACAUGCCUGUAAUCCCAGUAACUUGGGAGGCUGAGGCUGGAGAAUCUUAAAUUCAUGGCCAUCCUCUGCAAAUUAGCGAGAUCCUUAAGCAAUUCAGUGAGACCCUGUCUCAA
Molecule: small RNA, 128 nt
Filed under: Marmota monax (woodchuck)
Lineage: Eukaryota; Metazoa; Chordata; Mammalia; Rodentia; Sciuridae
Source: RNAcentral